CCCUUAGAUGUUCUGGGCCGCACGCGUGCUACACUGGGUGGAUCAGCGGGUCAGGUUGCGCGAAAGUGUUUCCUAAUCUUUAAAUCCGCUCGUGAUGGGGAUUGACGGUUGCAAUUUUCCGUCAUGAACGAGGAAUACCUUGUAAGCGCGGGUCAUCAUCCCGCGCUGAAUACGUCCCUGCCCUUUGUACACACCGCCCGUCGCUCCUACCGAUUGAGUGGUCCGGUGAGGCUUUGGGAUCUGAGCGGAAAGAGCGUUUCGCUGUUUCUGCCCGGAAAACUCAGUCGAACCUUAUCAUUUAGAGGAAGGAGAAGUCGUAACA
RNAcentral lists this ribosomal RNA (322 nucleotides) under uncultured eukaryote. RNAcentral's name for it is "partial 18S ribosomal RNA". It matches the Rfam family "Eukaryotic small subunit ribosomal RNA", at positions 1470 to 1796 of the family's 1831-position model. The record is from RNAcentral.